RNAcentral lists this ribosomal RNA (467 nucleotides) under uncultured Thiobacillus sp. RNAcentral's name for it is "bacterial SSU rRNA". It matches the Rfam family "Bacterial small subunit ribosomal RNA", at positions 910 to 1382 of the family's 1533-position model. Lineage: Bacteria; Pseudomonadati; Pseudomonadota; Betaproteobacteria; Nitrosomonadales; Thiobacillaceae. The record is from RNAcentral.
UUGACGGGACCCGCACAAGCGGUGGAUGAUGUGGAUUAAUUCGAUGCAACGCGAAAAACCUUACCUACCCUUGACAUGUCCGGAAUCCUGCAGAGAUGCGGGAGUGCCCGAAAGGGAAUCGGAACACAGGUGCUGCAUGGCUGUCGUCAGCUCGUGUCGUGAGAUGUUGGGUUAAGUCCCGCAACGAGCGCAACCCUUAUCAUUAGUUGCUACGCAAGGGCACUCUAAUGAGACUGCCGGUGACAAACCGGAGGAAGGUGGGGAUGACGUCAAGUCCUCAUGGCCCUUAUGGGUAGGGCUUCACACGUCAUACAAUGGUCGGUACAGAGGGUUGCCAAGCCGCGAGGUGGAGCCAAUCCCAGAAAGCCGAUCGUAGUCCGGAUUGUUCUCUGCAACUCGAGAGCAUGAAGUCGGAAUCGCUAGUAAUCGCGGAUCAGCAUGUCGCGGUGAAUACGUUCCCGGGUCUU